Molecule: long non-coding RNA, 3793 nt
Organism: Homo sapiens (human)
Lineage: Eukaryota; Metazoa; Chordata; Mammalia; Primates; Hominidae
Exons: 4
Source: RefSeq, a predicted model, not a curated record
GAGUUGAGGCGCGUCUCGAGCUCGCCGUCAGCCGCCGCCUCCAUGUGCGAGCAGAGGAUGUGCUGCAGCUGCGUGUACUCCACCUCCGUCAUCUCCACCAGGCUCAGACCUAGAUCCAGACUGGAGUUCCAGCAGGCCCCAAAAGAGAAAGUGUGAGGUGUGGCCUACAAAUAUGUUUCCCUACGAAAACCUGCGGAAAAUGUGUGGAAAUCGAUGUUGAGAGUGCGGGAUCUGGGUGGGAGGAAUAUAAGCUUGCGUAGCUGACCCUAAAUUCAGUGAAAUCCAGAACUUUCCUGGCACACUGGAGAGGACGGCAGAACGCUGGGAUGGAUUUAUCGUGCAAGACCAGCUUGAUGUCCUUAGGGCUUGGAGGUCACCCCUUCACGAGGAUUGCGAAAAACUGCGGCGGGAACUGCUGCCAUGCAGCUGGGCUCCCAAUGCAGUGGGGAUGGUGGCGCUCUGGGCUGGCGGGAGCUAUCCUGCCGGACGUGAUUCCCAGCACAGCCGUGAGCGGCAGCAGAGGCGCAGUCAUCUGACCCACAUAGUUCCUGCGUUGCCUGAUGGGCGCAGCUUCCCUAGAACUGAAAAAAAAGGACAUCCUGCCAAAGGCGUCCCCGUUCUGUGCUGGCAGAAAGGCUGUAGGUCCGAGAGCAGGAGUCCUGCGCUCUGACUGGAAGCCCCAACACAGAGUCCGGGGCCCUCGGCCAAGUUCCAGACUCUGGACAGACCCAGGCCCCUGGAAUGAAGGACAGACUGAGUCUCCGAGAGGAAGGGGCCCUGCUAAAUGCCAAAAACAUGCAGCUAAUCUUCCCACCGCCCCUUCCCAAAGGAAUCUUCCUCUGUUUAUCAGGAGUCUGUGCAACGGGAAUGGGAAAUAAUCAGGCCUUUUAGGAAUUACUAGACCCUGGAGCUGAAAGGACAUUCAUUUCAGGAGGCCCAGAUGCCAGGCAGAGCUGUGGUUUAUGGAGGCGGACGACGGAGUUGGUUCAGGUUUUCCUCUGAGGAGGCCCAGUGAGCCUCCCGGCCUCCUGUGGAACAGACAUACUCAGCCAAUGGCAGGGUCCCCACAUGGUCCCCUGAGCCCUGGAGUGAGGUCGGCUGGGAGCAGCAGAGCAGCCGGAGGAGGAGGAGCAAACCCCAGGCCACAGCGUGCUCCUGGAGGGACCCCGAUUUUGUCAAAAUUUAGAUGCAGAGAGAAAAAGAUUAAGGAAAAUACCAAAUUAACGACAGCAGUGACUGCUGGGUGUGACGUUUUGGGCAGGCUUGGUUCUUCUCCCUUUUGCUAGGUGUCCCACAGGAAGACGGACCCAGCAUGUGGGGACCUGCACCCAGCCAGUCUCGCCCUGGCUCAGCCUGUUCACUGGCGCUGCCCUGCCACUGAGGGCUGAGGUCACUGUCCGUCUGGGCAUGUCUCAUGUGGUCUUUCCUUUUCUCCCCUUCUGGUUAGGCCCCCUGAGCUCAGCCACAGCCACGAUCCCCACUGCCGCCUCCUCCCUGGGACUCGCUGAUGCCUGGUGUGGGGAGGGUGCUGGCUGCUUUGGGUGUUACCCCCCGUUGGAGGCCCCCGUGCCGAGUUCUCGAGUGAGAUGGCUCUUUCCAUUUUCCCCCGACAGCUGCCUCGGCCUCUGUGCUAGAACAGGGAGCUACAGCUCAGUGACCCUGUGGUGCCUUGUGGGCCUGUGGGUGCCAGGGCUCCGGGGCCUGGGCCUUUUCCUGCUUGGUGUGGCUGACCGGGACGCGGCCGACCCCAGGGGCAUACUGGAGCUAGGUCUUCCUCGCCAUGUUUCCACAGUGAGCCCUUUGGCUGCACAGGUCACGGUCUGGAGCUGUUGGAGGAGGCUGCUCAGAGCUGUUGCUGCCCCACCAGACACUUGGCCAAGGGGCCUGCACCGGUCUGCGCGGGAACGUCCCACCGGCGUCUGCUCAUGGCUGGGCUGUGGACCCAUACGCUUGUUCGGAAGCCAAGCUCUGGCCCACAGGCGACCAGAGGAAGCUCGCAGGCCAGGCGCCAGCUCCCCGAGCCUGUCCCUGCAGCCGCGCUGUGUGCAGGCACGUGGGCCACCGCGUCUCCUCCACUGGCACUGCUGGGUCUGGGCCGCCAAGCCCACCUGCCCACCUGCAUCCUCAGCAGCAGCACGCCCCGCAGUCGGCGGGUGCACACUCUGCUGCAGCCUGGAUGGGCUGGGGCCUCGGGGCUCACUCCCCAACCAUGAGACUCCUUCACCGCAGUUGAGGCUGUUGCAGUGGUCUCGGGCUCCCACUCAGCCCCAGGAGAGGGUCUGAAGGGGGUGAGUCCCUCCUCCCGACCUUCCUGCCCAUCGUCUCCAGAGCUGGAUGGUGCUGGGUCCCCACAGGGAGCGAGACAGCUGCCCCGUGACGGAAGGAUGUGGGGACCCGCACCCGGCCGGUCUCACCCUGGGCUCAGCAUGAGUUCAGGGAGGGGUCCAAAGGGCACUCCUGCCCACGCCCAGGCAAACCAGCAACAAGAAACUGGGUGGCCAGGGCGUCCGUGCACGACCCCAAACUUCUCCGCGUUAGAAAAAGGCUGAUGAAGACCCGAGACAGAAACUUCCUGUAGCUGUUUAUUCUACUGCGAGUAACAAAACCUAGGUCGUUCCAUGUUCUCAUGUACAGUGAUAUAAGCCUCCGCAAUAUAAAAUACAAUGUACAGGAAUCUCUAUCAAGUAAACUAAAGAAACACACUUGAUUUUUACAUUUGUGUAUUUAAAUUAGAAAAAUUUGCUUUAUAUGUUAAACAAACAAAACCUUCUCAUCGUACUAGAUGUUGGAACGUGACACCUACUUUAAUGUAAUUUAACCUAUGGACACUUGGCUUUCAACACCAAACAUCUCAAACUGAUACAUUCUCAAUGUUUUCUUAACUUAAAAAAUCUGUGCUAUAAAGUGAAAAAUCUGUAGUGACGUACAAUGGAAUAACAGACUCCAAAGAACAAGUGAAGUUCUUUAAUUUUACAUCUGUAAAAGUUUAUGAAAAUAUAAAAAAUUAUCAAAGUGUAUUUGUACAAAUAAAUUAGCCAGAUUUUUUUACUUCACACUUCAGAAGUACUCGAAAAAUACACGACAAGCAAGAGACUGUUUCACAGUGAACAGCUUCCUGUCUCAUUUGCAGUUCUUGAGCUAGUGAUCACUAGUUCCCGUCUCAGACUUUACACAAGUCUUGUUCCACGUUCAAGGACAAACUUUUACAUGUAUCGUCUGACAAAUACCAGUUUGGGGCCGAGCGUACUUUUCCCGGGAUACAGAAGAACUGCUCAGAAGGCGAAACUGGACCAACAAAACUCCUGAUUAUUCAAAUCAAGGACUCCUCCCUGCCCCCAAAGUACACUUAAUUGGUUUGUUACUUUUUUUAGGCUGGUAAAACUUAACAUUUUUCAAUAAAUUGUUAUUUAAAAUGCAACAAUUAUACUAGGACAGAUGUUGCUUUAAAUCAUGUUUUGGAAAAAAUUGAUAAGGUGAUAUAUAAAAUCUGAGCACGCUAAGAAAUGUGUUUCUGUUUCCCAGUUGAAAAUUGUAAUUCCAAUUUUAUGACAAAAGAAAGAUGCAUUUGUAAGGUUUGUGUUUCUCAAGACUCCAGAUACAAGCUACUAAGACUUCUCCCGUAGCCGCAGGGUGGACGCCUGCAGGUCACGCCCACACCGGCCUCCGGGGCGGCGGCUAAGACCUGUAAAAGCAGCUUUUGGAAACACAAACGGAUGAGAUGUCAGUGAAGGUAUGGCUCUAGGGUCCAACGAAACUCCCUUAAAAUUUACAAUAAAGUUAUUGGAAAAGAUAA